RNAcentral lists this ribosomal RNA (447 nucleotides) under uncultured bacterium. Its description in RNAcentral is "partial 16S ribosomal RNA". It matches the Rfam family "Bacterial small subunit ribosomal RNA", at positions 29 to 523 of the family's 1533-position model. The record is from RNAcentral.
AACGAACGCUGGCGGCAAGCUUAACACAUGCAAGUCGAGCGCCCCACAAGGGGAGCGGCAGACGGGUGAGUAACACGUGGGAACCUUCCUAGAGGUACGGAACAACUCAGGGAAACUUGAGCUAAUACCGUAUACGCUCUUGCGAGGAAAGAUUUAUCGCCUUUAGACGGGCCCGCGGCGGAUUAGCUAGUUGGUGGGGUAACGGCCUACCAAGGCGACGAUCCGUAGCUGAUCUGAGAGGAUGAUCAGCCACACUGGGACUGAGACACGGCCCAGACUCCUACGGGAGGCAGCAGUGGGGAAUCUUGGACAAUGGGCGCAAGCCUGAUCCAGCCAUGCCGCGUGAGUGAAGAAGGCCUUCGGGUUGUAAAGCUCUUUUGCCAGGGACGAUAAUGACGGUACCUGGAGAAUAAGCCCCGGCAAACUUCGUGCCAGCCGCCGCCGUAA